GACGAACGCUGGCGGCGUGCUUAACACAUGCAAGUCGAACGGAAAGGCCCUGCUUUUGUGGGGUGCUCGAGUGGCGAACGGGUGAGUAACACGUGAGUAACCUGCCCUUGACUUUGGGAUAACUUCAGGAAACUGCGGCUAAUACCGGAUAGGAGCUCCUGCUGCAUGGUGGGGGUUAGAAAGUUUCGGCGGUUGGGGAUGGACUCGCGGCUUAUCAGCUUGUUGGUGGGGUAGUGGCUUACCAAGGCUUUGACGGGUAGCCGGCCUGAGAGGGUGACCGGCCACAUUGGGACUGAGAUACGGCCCAGACUCCUACGGGAGGCAACAGUGGGGAAUAUUGCACAAUGGGCGGAAGCCUGAUGCAGCAGCGCCGCGUGCGGGAUGACGGCCUUCGGGUUGUAAACCGCUUUCGCCUGUGACGAAGCGUGAGUGACGGUAAUGGGUAAAGAAGCACCGGCUAACUACGUG
RNAcentral lists this ribosomal RNA (468 nucleotides) under uncultured bacterium. RNAcentral's name for it is "partial 16S ribosomal RNA". It matches the Rfam family "Bacterial small subunit ribosomal RNA", at positions 28 to 507 of the family's 1533-position model. The record is from RNAcentral.